GCGAUGUUUGUCUCGCCUGCCAGCAGCCCCCCAGUGGCCAAGCUCUGUGAACUAGUCCACCUGUGCGGAGGCCGGGUCAGCCAAGUCCCCCGCCAGGCCAGCAUCGUCAUCGGGCCCUACAGCGGAAAGAAGAAAGCCACAGUCAAGUAUCUGUCUGAGAAAUGGGUCUUAGAUUCCAUCACCCAGCACAAGGUCUGUGCCCCUGAAAACUACCUAUUGUCACAAUGACAGUGACCUCACUGGCCUGUGGUGACUGCACACAGCUCGCAAAACUGUCUUUGGAUGUUCAAAUGAGAAACAAAACUGUGAAGAGAAGGAACUGGCGUAUACAAGAUGACUUCUGAUAUCAUGUUUGCCAUGUGUUGUGGUUCUUAAGAACUCAUAGGUGACUUUCUGAUGACUGAAUGUCUGUUUCAGAGACGCUUCGGGCCUUUUUAUUUUUAUUUUAUUUUUUAUUUUUUGAGACGGAGUCCUGCCCUGUUUCCCAGGCUGGAGUGCAAUGGCACAAUCUCGGCUCACUGCAACCUCCACCUCCCAGGUUCAAGCGAUUCUGCUGCCUCAGCCUCCUGAGUAGCUGGGAUUACAGAUGUGUGCCACCAUGCCUGGCUAAUUUUUGUAGUUUUAGUAGAGACAGGGUUUCGCCAUGUUGGCCAGGCUGGUCUCAAACGCCUGAGCUCAGGUGAUCUGUCAGGCCUCUUCUAUAGAAUUCCAGUCUUUGUGUCUUAGUCAUGAUCAUAAUUGAAAGGUCACAGAACCUUUGUCAUUAGAGCACAGUACUGCCAAAUAAAGAAUGGAAAU
RNAcentral lists this long non-coding RNA (798 nucleotides) under Homo sapiens (human). Its description in RNAcentral is "HSALNT0132418". The record is from RNAcentral. Lineage: Eukaryota; Metazoa; Chordata; Mammalia; Primates; Hominidae.